Molecule: long non-coding RNA, 185 nt
Organism: Monodelphis domestica (gray short-tailed opossum)
Lineage: Eukaryota; Metazoa; Chordata; Mammalia; Didelphimorphia; Didelphidae
Source: RefSeq, a predicted model, not a curated record
AACAGCCUCUGGAAUUCGCUGACUUCCUGUGGAGAGAGCUAGACGGGAGUUCAGGUGGCACAGUGGAUAAAGAGCUGGACUUGGAGUUCAAAUGUGACUUAAGACACUCAUUAGUUUUGUGACCCUGGGUAUCUCCCACCCUCCUUCCCAUCCCCACACUAGAGAAGGCAUCAUUUGACAAAAAG